RNAcentral lists this long non-coding RNA (306 nucleotides) under Elaeis guineensis (African oil palm). RNAcentral's name for it is "long non-coding RNA (EGUI_LNC005804)". Lineage: Eukaryota; Viridiplantae; Streptophyta; Magnoliopsida; Arecales; Arecaceae. The record is from RNAcentral.
CAGGCAUUAAAUAUGUAUUGAAAAGUGGUGACUACGUAGAUCAAUCAGAUGAGAUGGUAUAUUCCACGUCAGAUUUUCUAUACUGCUUGCAGUGCACAAAGAAUUUCUCUAAUUUUCAAUCUUCACAUUACUUUUGUGAAUAAAGAUUUUUAUUGAAGGCGAUUGGAUCCACCAUAAUUGUGUGGAUAUAAUUUCCCGUUGGCCUAUCGAUGGGCCCUUCCUAUCAACCUCCAAAAGAACAUACAACGUGAAGUUAGUUGGAAUCAUAGUCUUAACUUGAUUGCAGCUUCUAGAUUAUCAUGACCC